Molecule: ribosomal RNA, 253 nt
Filed under: uncultured bacterium
Lineage: Bacteria
Description: partial 16S ribosomal RNA
Rfam family: Bacterial small subunit ribosomal RNA
Source: RNAcentral
UACGUAGGGUGCAAGCGUUAAUCGGAAUUACUGGGCGUAAAGCGUGCGCGGGCGGUUUUGUAAGUCUGUCGUGAAAUCCCCCGGGCUCAACCUGGGAAUUGCGAUGGAGACUGCAAGGCUAGAAUCUGGCAGAGGGGGGUAGAAUUCCACGUGUAGCAGUGAAAUGCGUAGAGAUGUGGAGGAACACCGAUGGCGAAGGCAGCCCCCUGGGUCAAGAUUGACGCUCAUGCACGAAAGCGUGGGGAGCAAACGA